UCCCAGGUAGCUGUUUAGAAGGAGAAUUAACAGUAGGAACAUGGUAUUCCGCUUAACAUUGGCACCUGUAAACGCGUAAUAGCGCAUUUCUCUGUUAUUAUUACUGUGCAGAUACCGCUGUGUAUUUACUUAAUUUAAAUACGUCUUUCUUACUUAAAGCGAAAGUACUCCGCAAACAAUGGAUCUUCGUUCUGCUCACUAAAGUGACACUUCUCAAAUAUAGCAGGUAUUGCUUCAACAGCUAAAUUAGUUUUUAGUAAGUGGCAACCCGUUUAUUAAUAACAACCAAUUAGGAAUGUACGAAUCCACUUAAUGCGCAGAACUAAAUUAAUGUUCCUGCUACAUUUAUUGCCGAGGCCUAAUAUUUCCGAAGAGAUAAAAUAGAUAUCUAUUAUUAAAUAUCCCAUCCGUGAUGAAAGACUUUUGAUUAUUGUCGUGAUUCAUGAGAAUCAUUGUGGGAAAUAACGCUUACAGGAUGUUCAGACUUAUCGACAUACUACAUUACGUGUGAAGUACUCUGCUUUAAGGCAGAAGAGGAAGUGAAGCCACGAAUCUGGACCUCAGAGGACAGGAGGGAAGAGACUGCUGGACAUGGAUCUCCUCCCACGGUGUAAAAGCAUGUGGUUCGGACGACCGUCGCAUCUACAUUUCCCUCACUCUGAGGACUGUGAUGGACUGGCAUCCCAUCCAGGGUGUGCCCUACUUUGUUUGCUGCCUGGGAUGGACUUGGGGCUCAGCUUGCUUCUCUAGUCGAUAAAUAGUUAUGGGUGAUAGAUAGAUAUUUUGAUGAUGACACCCAAGACCAUAAUCAUGUGGAUAUUGCGCAGAAAAAAAUGAAACUGCACUCUUAGCAGCAGAGAGCCUACACUCCCCUCACCAUCAACGGAUCUCCUGUGGAGAGGGUGAGGAGUUUUAAAUAUCUGGAUGUCCACAUUUCUGAGGAUCUGAGGUGGACUGUUCACAAGUCCAGUCCAAAAGGGCUAAGCAGCACCUUUACCACUUGCGACAGCUGAGGAAGUUCAAGGUCUCUCCAACAAUCCUAUGGACUUUCUACUCAGGCGCCAUGGAGAGCAUCCUGACUCAAAACAUUACUUAUUGGUUUGGGGAUAGCAGUGUUCAGGAUCGCAAAGCCCUCCGGAGGGUGAUCUGUGCAGCAGAACUUCCAUCUCUUCAGGACAUUCACAUUAUGAGAUGUAGGAGCAGGGCCUUCAGGAUCAUGAAGGACACAUCCCACCCCAAUAACAGCCUGUUUCAGCUUCUGAAAUCAGGAAUGAGACUCGUGAACAUCAUGGGCAGGACUGAGAGGCUUAGGAGGAGUUUCUAUCCCCAGGCCAUAAGGCUUCUGAUCCUGAACAUGCCACUGCACCGCACACCGUGAUGUACACUGUGCUCUUUUACCCCUCACCAUAUCCGCACUGCCGCACUAGUCACUGCACUGUGCUUGCACUUUUAUCUUGUAUUUUAGAUUUUUGCACUUUAACCAGUUUACAUAAUUGGAUUUUAACUUGCACAGUUUAAAAAGAGCGGUUCAGGAUGCAUUUCACUACGUGUUGUACUUUGUAUGAUUAUGUAUGUGACAAUUAAAGAAUCUUGAAUCUUG
Molecule: long non-coding RNA, 1600 nt
Organism: Brienomyrus brachyistius
Lineage: Eukaryota; Metazoa; Chordata; Actinopteri; Osteoglossiformes; Mormyridae
Exons: 3
Source: RefSeq, a predicted model, not a curated record